RNAcentral lists this ribosomal RNA (515 nucleotides) under uncultured bacterium. Its description in RNAcentral is "bacterial SSU rRNA". It matches the Rfam family "Bacterial small subunit ribosomal RNA", at positions 390 to 896 of the family's 1533-position model. The record is from RNAcentral.
AGCCUUGCCGCGUGAGUGAAGAAGGCCUUCGGGUUGUAAAGCUCUUUCGGUCGGGAAGAAAUAGUUGCGGCUAAUAUCUGCAACAAAUGACGGUACCGACAUAAGAAGCACCGGCUAACUACGUGCCAGCAGCCGCGGUAAUACGUAGGGUGCAAGCGUUAAUCGGAAUUAUUGGGCGUAAAGGGUGCGCAGGUCGUUAUAUAAGUCAGAUGUGAAAUCCCUGGGCUUAACCUAGGAAUUGCGUUUGAAACUAUAUAACUAGAGUGUGACAGAGGGGAGUGGAAUUCCAUGUGUAGCAGUGAAAUGCGUAGAGAUGUGGAAGAACACCGAUGGCGAAGGCAGCUCCCUGGGUUAACACUGACGCUCAUGCACGAAAGCGUGGGGAGCAAACAGGAUUAGAUACCCUGGUAGUCCACGCCCUAAACGAUGUCAACUAGUUGUCGGAUCUAUAUAAAGAUUAGGUAACGUAGCUAACGCGUGAAGUUGACCGCCUGGGAAGUACGGUCGCAAGAUUA